UGCCAAGCUGCGCCACCGGUGGAUAGCUGCAGUGAAUAGGAAGAACUACCAACCCAGUGAAAAUGCACGAUGUGCAGGUGGUGAAGGGCAGGCGUCUGCUAACCAGGCAGUCAAACGACCUCGCCAGUUGGUUGCCAAGCGCGGCCAACCCAGUAGAGACCAUUACAAACAAGACCAAACUGAAAGUGCA
Dermacentor albipictus is the source of this 190-nucleotide non-coding RNA. The record is from RefSeq and is a predicted model, not a curated record. Lineage: Eukaryota; Metazoa; Arthropoda; Arachnida; Ixodida; Ixodidae.